GGUUUAGUGGUAAAAUAUCUCGUUGCCAACGAGAUGCCCCGGGUUCGAUUCCCGG
Molecule: transfer RNA, 55 nt
Filed under: Phytophthora infestans (potato late blight agent)
Lineage: Eukaryota; Oomycota; Peronosporomycetes; Peronosporales; Peronosporaceae
Also listed under: 1 other name
Rfam family: tRNA
About the family: Transfer RNA (tRNA) molecules are approximately 80 nucleotides in length. Their secondary structure includes four short double-helical elements and three loops (D, anti-codon, and T loops).
Source: Rfam by way of RNAcentral